CGCUCUCUGGGGUGUGCGCCAGUCUUUGAAGUCCUCGAGCCUUACUUAAAAAACUGGAGGUUCCUCGCCUUUGAUGGCGAGCAAGUCCGUCUUCGAGCGGAAAGCCCGAUUCUUUGCAGGAACCACCACCUUGGACCUUUCGGUUCAAGGCCUUUCUCUGACAGCGGCACAGUGGAGAGCCC
RNAcentral lists this non-coding RNA (182 nucleotides) under Bermanella marisrubri. Its description in RNAcentral is "6S / SsrS RNA". It matches the Rfam family "6S / SsrS RNA". From Rfam's summary of the family: E. coli 6S RNA was the first non coding RNA to be sequenced, but its function was unknown until recently. It consists of 184 nucleotides that fold into an extended hairpin structure with a large single-stranded internal bulge. The 6S RNA specifically associates with RNA polymerase holoenzyme containing the sigma70 specificity factor. Lineage: Bacteria; Pseudomonadati; Pseudomonadota; Gammaproteobacteria; Oceanospirillales; Oceanospirillaceae. The record is from Rfam by way of RNAcentral.